UAGAGUUUGAUCAUGGCUCAGGAUGAACGCUGGCUGUAUGCCUAACACAUGCAAGUCGUACGAGAGUUUUUAACUCUAGUGGCGGACGGGUGAGUAACACGUGAGAAUUUGCCUUUAGGAGGGGGACAACAAUUGGAAACGAAUGCUAAUACCCCAUAUGCUUUCGAGUGAAAUGGAUUUAUAUUUAUCCGCCUAGAGAGAAGCUCGCGGCUGAUUAGCUUGUUGGUAAGGUAAGAGCUUACCAAGGCGACGAUCAGUAUCUGGUUUGAGAGGACGAUCAGACACACUGGAACUGAGACACGGUCCAGACUCCUACGGGAGGCAGCAGUGGGGAAUUUUCCGCAAUGGGCGAAAGCCUGACGGAGCAAUACAGCGUGAGGGAAGACUGCCUAUGGGUUGUAAACCUCUUUUUUCAGGGAGGAAUAAAUGACGUGUACCUGAAGAAUAAGCAUCGGCUAACUCCGUGCCAGCAGCCGCGGUAAGACGGAGGAUGCAAGUGUUAUCCGGAAUCACUGGGCGUAAAGCGUCUGUAGGUGGUUUAAUAAGUCAACUGUUAAAUCUUGAGGCUCAACUUCAAAAUCGCAGUCGAAACUAUUAGACUAGAGUAUAGUAGAGGUAAAGGGAAUUUCCAGUGGAGCGGUGAAAUGCGUAGAUAUUGGAAAGAACACCGAUGGCGAAAGCACUUUACUGGGCUAU
Molecule: ribosomal RNA, 696 nt
Filed under: uncultured bacterium
Lineage: Bacteria
Description: bacterial SSU rRNA
Rfam family: Bacterial small subunit ribosomal RNA
Source: RNAcentral